Molecule: ribosomal RNA, 778 nt
Filed under: bacterium SCSIO13250
Lineage: Bacteria
Description: bacterial SSU rRNA
Rfam family: Bacterial small subunit ribosomal RNA
Source: RNAcentral
GUGCUUUCGGGGGUACACGAGCGGCGAACGGGUGAGUAACACGUGGGUGACCUGUGGCCCUCCACUCUGGGAUAAGCCCGGGAAACUGGGUCUAAUACCGGAUAGGGUGACCACUGAUCGCAUGGUUGGUGGUGGAAAGUUUUUUCGGUGGGGGAUGGGGUGCCCGCGGCCUAUCAGCUUGUUGGUGGGGUGAUGGCCUACCAAGGCGGUGAGUGCGGGUAGCCGGCCUGAGAGGGCGACCGGCCACACUGGGACUGAGACACGGGUGCCCAGACUCCUACGGGAGGCAGCAGUGGGGAAUAUUGCGCAAUGGGCGGAGUGAGCCUGACGCAGCGACGCCGCGUGGGGGAUGACGGCCUUCGGGUUGUAAAGUGCCUCUUUCGCCAGGGACGAAGAGCAAUUGACGGUACCUGGAGAAGAAGCAGUGCCGGCCAACUACGUGCCAGCAGCCGCGGUAACACGUAGGGUGCGAGCGUUGUGGUCCGGAAUUAUUGGGCGUAAAGAGCUCGUAGGCGGUGUGUCGCGUCGGCGUGCGUGAAAACUUGGGGCUUAACUCUGAGCGUGCGGUCGAUACGGGCAUCACGUGUUGAGUUCGGCAGGGGAGACUGGAAUUCCUGGUGUAGCGGUGAAAUGCGCGUGAGAUAUCAGGAGGAACACCGGUGGCGAAGGCGGGUCUCUGGGCCGAUACUGUGGACGCUGAGGAGCGAAAGCGUGGGGAGCGAACAGGAUUAGAUACCCUGGUGUGAGUCCACGCCGUAAACGUUGGGCGCUAGGUGUG